GUCAUAAAAAGGAUCUGAAUUAAUGACAUCUACAGUAGAAAUAAGACAGGAGUUGUACAUGUCUAACUUUUUCCCACAUUCAAGAGUCCGCGAUGGGUCACUACGGACAGUAUGGGAAACCUGUGAAUUCAAACCUAGUGGUUUAUAAAGGAACAGCCAGGACAAUCGGGCAGUAUUUUCCACAUGAAGUGGGACUGCUGAAGCUGCGUGUGAGUCAAGAUCCCCUCUGAUCCUGCUGAAGUCAAUGGCAAACCUCCAAUCUGCUUCAAAUGAGCGAGAACGGGCUCUCAAUAAAGAGGAAGAAUACAAAAAACAGUCCAACAUUUCUCACCCUGCAGAUUCUCCCAUGCAUUCGUCUUCUUGGGCAAGAAAUAAUUGGGAGCAUCAGGAAGGGGAAACCACUUGAAACUGCAGAUGGAGGUAAAAGAUGUCUCAUCUGGGCUAUCAGGCUAGGGUGGCCCAGUCAGGCCAGGAGAGCUGCUAUCCUGCCUCCUGACUCCUUUUAUGGGCAGCAGGCCAGGAAAAUGGGUUGACUGUGUGAUGCAUUUCCCCUUAUGGUGGAAGCGGCACAGAGCGCUUGAUCCUGCACCAUUCAUGUUGAUGCGAGUUUUCCUAUUUACCUGACUGGGCACAGCCUGGAGGUCAGACAGAAGAAGCGUGUUCUUAUAUUGCAUGCCGGGAGUUUGAGGAUUUGAGGACUACGUUUCCGUACUCGGCCAUCAUGAAGAGAGCUUGUCUGAUCCCAUCAUAUAUUUUGUUUGAAUGGAGAGCUGUAAUAAAGUAAUGAAUGAAACUUGCUGUGGCUCGGGGUAGCAAAGGAAUUCAAGAAAAAUCUUUGUUAUCGGGAUGCUACUUGGACAGGUGUGCCUGAUUCCCCCAAAGUCCAGACUCAAAGGCUGUCACUCCCUGUGAUGCCAGGAUACGAACGAUGCUGGCGAUUUGUGCCACGGGGCCCGGCUGGAAGCAAUCUAUCAGGGUUAGAACCACCUGCUAAUCAAGACUGAGAAGGUGACAAGACAGCAUAUUAUCUCUAGGAAGACACAGCAAGGGGUGUUCUAUUCAUGGUUGAGGUCAAAGAAUUAGUCUGGUGUAUCAGGAGAAUGCAUGGAGACACACAGGAUCCUUCAGUGAGGAGAAAAGUGGAGUGUGUGGCUUAUUUCAUGACAAAAAGGGAUCACAGCCUAUCUGGUUGAAAAAUGUUGGUGAGUAAUACUAUAAAGACCCGAUGGUAACUAGUUGAGUACAUCUAGUUUCUAGAAUGAAUGUCACAAUUGUAUUUCCCAUGUAACCAUUUGGUUCCCAUAUUUCUAUUUGUGGUCGUUUA
Molecule: long non-coding RNA, 1324 nt
Organism: Trachemys scripta elegans
Lineage: Eukaryota; Metazoa; Chordata; Testudines; Emydidae
Exons: 3
Source: RefSeq, a predicted model, not a curated record